CCUGGCUCAGAUUGAACGCUGGCGGAAUGCUUUACACAUGCAAGUCGAGCGGCAGCGCGGGGCAACCUGGCGGCGAGCGGCGAACGGGUGAGUAAUACAUCGGAACGUGCCCCAGACGUGGGGGAUAACUACUCGAAAGAGUGGCUAAUACCGCAUACGAUCUACGGAUGAAAAGCGGGGGAUCGCAAGACCUCGCGCGUCUGGAGCGGCUGAUGGCAGAUUAGGUAGUUGGUGGGAUAAAAGCCUACCAAGCCAACGAUCUGUAGCUGGUCUGAGAGGAUGAUCAGCCACACUGGGACUGAGACACGGCCCAGACUCCUACGGGAGGCAGCAGUGGGGAAUUUUGGACAAUGGGCGAAAGCCUGAUCCAGCCAUUCCGCGUGCAGGAUGAAGGCCCUCGGGUUGUAAACUGCUUUUGUACAGAACGAAAAAGCUCUGGCUAAUACCUGGAGUCCAUGACGGUACUGUAAGAAUAAGCAACCGGCUAACUACGUGCCAGCA
RNAcentral lists this ribosomal RNA (501 nucleotides) under uncultured bacterium. RNAcentral describes it as "bacterial SSU rRNA". It matches the Rfam family "Bacterial small subunit ribosomal RNA", at positions 18 to 513 of the family's 1533-position model. The record is from RNAcentral.